UCUAAAAUUUUGGUUUAGCACUUCCACUUGGCAUAAAAAUUUCCUCUGAGAAGAUGCUCGAUUCGUACCAUACAGUUCAUAUAAGCCGAUAACCUAUCGCGGACUUUAAAUCGAUACGAGUCAGGAAGAAAUCACAACAGGAAAAACGAUAGCCCGCUAGUCACCAUACAAACCUUAAACCGAAAGUAAACCUAGGUCUUGCCCUAAACCCAACUCUCUGGUCUCUAACAUCUCAAGGCAUGAUAUCUAAAAAUUGAUACG
RNAcentral lists this long non-coding RNA (261 nucleotides) under Brassica napus (rape). Its description in RNAcentral is "long non-coding RNA (BNAP_LNC004552)". Lineage: Eukaryota; Viridiplantae; Streptophyta; Magnoliopsida; Brassicales; Brassicaceae. The record is from RNAcentral.